CACAGAACCCGCAGUCCUUCGGAGACUCGAGAGGGUUCGCUCCACCUUGGGCGCUUGGGAGGGCUGCGGGAUCUCAGGUGCAGGCAGCUACAGUGGAGGCUAAAGCAGAGAGGUGCCCUGAAGAAGAUUCUAAAUACAGGGUUACUGUGGCCCUUGGGUCUUCAUUUAGCUACUAAGAAGAUUUGAUCUCAACUGAGUUCCAUCCAUAUCACCUAUUGGC
This 220-nucleotide long non-coding RNA is filed under the name Ursus americanus (American black bear). RNAcentral's name for it is "lncRNA (ENSUAMG00000016752.1)". Lineage: Eukaryota; Metazoa; Chordata; Mammalia; Carnivora; Ursidae. The record is from RNAcentral.